AGACAAACUAACUGCAGAUAAAUAAGCCUUCAAACCCAAACCAACACGAUGAAGUUACUGCUAAUGCUCAUCCUCCUACUUAUAUCAGAUUGUGAGUCAGAAACGAAGAGAUUCACAUCAGAAUGGACCGAAUUCACCUGCAACUGUCAAAAAACACCUGGAAAAUGUCAAAUGGUCCAUGUAGCUGAUCGUAGCUCAAAAACUGAAAAAAAGACUCUCAGAGUAAUCCUCAAACAAGAUGAGAACAAGGACCCCAAAAAGAAUGAUGACAAAAAAGAACUGCAAUUUAAACUUGAAGAAAAUGGCUGUCCAAAGCAAUUCAAUCAAACUGCAUACAAAACAGCUAAAACCACCAUCAGAUGCGAUCAUCCUGAAAAUAAA
This is a non-coding RNA of Maylandia zebra (zebra mbuna), 381 nucleotides long. NCBI's taxonomy places the organism in Eukaryota, Metazoa, Chordata, Actinopteri, Cichliformes, Cichlidae. The record is from RefSeq and is a predicted model, not a curated record.